This 549-nucleotide ribosomal RNA is filed under the name uncultured Glomus. RNAcentral's name for it is "SSU rRNA". It matches the Rfam family "Eukaryotic small subunit ribosomal RNA", at positions 548 to 1098 of the family's 1831-position model. Lineage: Eukaryota; Fungi; Glomeromycota; Glomeromycetes; Glomerales; Glomeraceae. The record is from RNAcentral.
UUGGAGGGCAAGUCUGGUGCCAGCAGCCGCGGUAAUUCCAGCUCCAAUAGCGUAUAUUAAAGUUGUUGCAGUUAAAAAGCUCGUAGUUGAAUUUCGUGAUCAUCAGGUUGGUCGUGCCAUCGGUAUGUACUAGCUUUGGUGGUUCCUACCCCUUGAAGAACCGUAAUGUCAUUAACUUGGUGUUGCGGGGAAUCAGGACUGUUACUUUGAAAAAAUUAGAGUGUUUAAAGCAGGCAAACGCUUGAAUACAUUAGCAUGGAAUAAUGAAAUAGGACGUUUGAUCUUAUUUUGUUGGUCUCUAGGAUCGACGUAAUGAUUAAUAGGGAUAGUUGGGGGCAUUAGUAUCCAAUUGUCAGAGGUGAAAUUCUUGGAUUUAUUGAAGACUAACUACUGCGAAAGCAUUUGCCAAGGAUGUUUUCAUUAAUCAAGAACGAAAGUUAGGGGAUCGAAGACGAUCAGAUACCGUCGUAGUCUUAACCAUAAACUAUGCCGACUAGGGAUCGGAUGAUGUUAAUUUUUUAAUGACUCAUUCGGCGCCUUACGGGAAAC